This 3384-nucleotide long non-coding RNA is filed under the name Olea europaea subsp. europaea. Lineage: Eukaryota; Viridiplantae; Streptophyta; Magnoliopsida; Lamiales; Oleaceae. The record is from RNAcentral.
AAGGAUUGAAAGAAUAUGACCAAAUGAUCCUGCCAUUAGUGAAAGAAUAAAAUAUUGUCUGAGGCUAUAAGAGGUUUUAAUUUCUUUACCAAUGUUGGGUUUAUGAUCUAAAUUAGGAAAAAAAAGUAUUUCCUUAUUUUCACGUAAUUUUAUUGGAAAUAUAUUAUUUCCUUAUUUCACAGUAUUUCCAUCUUUAUGGUAUGAUAUGUACCUAAAGAUAGUGGCAUCUUCUUUCAGUUUAGUUCAACCAAAAUUGUUUUGUUGUAAUUUUCUCUCCAUAUCGUCGUUAUAAUAGAAUAUCAUUUCCUUUGCUUAACUAUCUUUGAUUUCUUUACUUUAAAUCUUAUUUCAUCUUUGUAAUCUUGUUACAUAUUCCAUACAAAGUCAUUAAUCACAAUCCUUUCGUUGCCUUUGGGAUCAACAAGUGGUAUUAGAGCUAAGCUACAGGUUCUUCAUGAUUUAAUUGGAAUUUUUUAGAAAUGACUACAUUGAAAUAUGUUAUUCCUCUAUUAAAUCACAAUACAAGAUUUUCUUGUGACAAGCAAAGAUGAGAGCUACUCUGGCGCAGUUUGAUUUGGACUAUGCAUUUCUGGGUUUUGAGAAGAUGCUAGCUAAUUGGACGACGGAGAAGAAACAACAGAGGAAUCGGAAGACUUUAUCGCAGAUUCAUCUUCAUUUAUCCAAUAAUAUUCUGUAGGGCGCCUUGAAGGAGAAAACAGUGGCUACUUUGUGGUUGAAAUUGGAGCAGUUAUGCAUGACUAAAAGUCUCACUAGCAAACUGGCUCUAAAGUAAAAGUUGUAUUCCCAUCGCAUGGUGGAAGAAAGGUCACUACAAGACCAAAUUGCUGUGUUCAAGGAAAAAGUUGCAGACUUAGAGACAUUAGAGGUUAAGUACGAUGAGGAGGACUUGGCCUUGAUCUCGUUGUGUCCGUCGCCUGCCUCUUAUUCUUCAUUUCAAAACAUCAUCCUAUACAAUCGUGAUACUUUGACCAUUAAGGAUGUCUACGAUGCUCUGUUCUCAAAGGAGAAGAUAAAACAUUUGACUGGAGCUACAUCGAGGAAUGAGGAAGCUCCGAUAUCUCAUGGUGAUCGACUGAUGGGUAGAUUGAGGAUGAACUUCAUCAAUUUGUACUGCUUCUACCACAGGAGGAAAGGACACGUUAAGAGAGAUUACGAUACAUUGCAAGCUAAAGAUAAUUUAGCUACAAAUCAUAAAGCACAAUCAUGCAAUUCGGACGAGACUAAUGUUAUCGAGAAUUUUUCGAAUGACAGUGAUCGUGGUAUCUAGCGUGGAGUUUAAACUUGACAAGAAGUGGAUUCUCGAUUCGGCAUGUUCACAUCAUAUGUGUUCCAACCGAAAUUUCUUUCAAACAUAUAAGGCUGUCAAGCAAGGUAAAGUUGUGAUGGGGAACAACCAGUCUUGCCAUGUUGCUCGAAUUGGUCGAGUCAGAUUAAGGUUGUAGGAUGGGACGGUUAGAACAAUUGAUCAGGUUCGACAUGUUCCAGACCUGAAAAAUAAUCUCAUCUUGUUGAGUUCCCUAAAUGCAAAAGGGUAUAAUUUCUUUGGUGGAGGUGGAGUCUUGAAGGUCCGAAGAGGUGUUCGUGUUGUACUGGAUGGACAGAAAAAGUCACAGUUGUACAUCUUACAGGGAAGCGUAGAACCAGUUAAGAGACAUCUAGAUAAGUUCAGUACCGUGGUGGAUAUUUAGGUAUGGAUCGAUUCAAAACAUUGUUCAAGAGAGUAUUGGUGAUUUCUCUUUGCCACAAGUUUUAGCGAAAAUAUUGUGUUCAGUUGUUAGAGUUGGACUCAUGGAAAAUAGCUACAGUGGUGUAAAUGAUAUCUGUAAUGCUUUUGGGAUCACUGAAGGUGAAAAUUCUAGCAAGGAGCCUUCUGAUCAGGCAUUUGGUGUAGUUUCUACUAGAGGGUGUGCUUCGACCCUGUUUGGUCAACAAUAAUUUCUUAGUGGAAUUUUGAGAACUUGAGAAUUUGGUUCGGGUGUUGCUUGUAGACGUAGGGCAGAUGAAGAUUUUUUUGUAAUGGAGAGUUUUUGUUACUGUUUUAAAGAGUUCGAUUAUGUCAAUGCAGUUGGACAUACUUUUCUAGAUGGAGAAAGUUUGGAGAUUCAUUCGUUACACCGGAAUUUGGGUCAAGGUGGAGAUUGUUGGGUUUAUUACCUAAAUUAGGGGAAAAAAUCCUUAUUUUCACGUGGAAAAAACUGUUUCCUCAUUUUCACUUGAUUUUAUUGAAAAUAUAUUAAUUUUCUUAUUUCACAUUAUUUUCAUCUUUAUGGUAUGGUAUAUACUUAUAAAUAUUGACCUCUUCUUUCAGUUUAGUUCACACUAAAAUUGUUAUGUUGUAUUUUUCUCUCCAUAUCGUUGUUUUAAUAAAGCAUCGUUUCCUCUCCUUAACUCUCUUUGAUUUCUUUACUUUAAAUUUUGUUUUAUCUUUAUGAUCUUGUUACAUAUUUCAUACAACGUCAUUAAUUUCAAUAUUUGUGUCGCCUUUGGGAUCAAAAACCAGUGUCUUUGACAAUGUUUUCCACUUCUCUAAUACACGGUGUUUUGUCUACAAUUUGUUCUAUCUGUGGCAGCAAAACUACAACAUAUUAUUGCAACCUUGGCAUUGGGAAGUGCAGGAAUAGGUGGGGGUUGGACCAAGAAUUAAACCAAGAGAUGAGCUAUUUUGGUCUAAUAUGCCAUAAUUAUUAUUAUUAUCCUUAAGGCUAAAACAUGGUGGAUUUUGCACUCGUUCUUCUUUUUUUUCUUUUUUUCUUCCUCCUAGGUGGGGGUAGAUUGGUAAGCAGUUCAUGAAUUUGAUUAUAUCAUAUAUGAAGCUCUGACAUAGUUGUCCUUUUAAUGCAAUGGCAAUUUGGGUAUAAUUCGUGAUUCGUAAAGAAGCACUUGCUUUAUUAUCUACGAAUAAUUUUAGGGUAUGCAUAAAUUUUAAAUUGUAACACAAAUUCCUUCUAUAUAUUCUGCAGAAAUAAAAUUAUGUUGGAGUAUCAUAAUCAAUAGCUUGAGACUGCAGUUUAUUUAGCGUAGGUUUGCGUGAUAGUUUUUAUGGAUUAUGCUACUUGUACAUAAUACGGUGUCAAUAUCCGAACUAGGUCCCCCUUCAUGUGAAGGGAUGGACACCAAUAUGAAUACCCUAAUGUACAUGUAGAAUCACCCAGUUUUUAUGCCGUUAAAGCACCUUGCCACUCUAUAUAUGAGCACAUUAUUUACAUAUAUUGCACAAAAUGAGUGAAAAUACAUGUAAGUUUAUUUUUGUGAUGUGCAGGAAGUUGAUUAUUUUUUGGAUAGCUAAAGAUCAAAAGAAGCAAAUUUGUUGAUAUAUUGCUCGAUUAUUUUGUAAUAUUUAAAUCAAUUAUUUUUGAAUUGUAG